RNAcentral lists this ribosomal RNA (759 nucleotides) under Triticum aestivum (bread wheat). RNAcentral describes it as "partial small subunit ribosomal RNA". The record is from RNAcentral. Lineage: Eukaryota; Viridiplantae; Streptophyta; Magnoliopsida; Poales; Poaceae.
AUGAGUGCCUACUUCUCUGACAUGAUUAAGGAUCAUUCCCUAGAUUUCCUUUGUCUUCAGGAGACUAUGAAGAAAAAGUUUCCUCCUAAGAGUCUCAGGAAAAUAGACCCUGCGGCUCAAUUUGAUUGGAAUUGGAUUCCAUCGAUUGGCAAAGCAGGGGGGAUCCUUUGUGGUAUUAAGAAGGAGAACCUAGAAGUUAUAUCUUGGAUUCCUGGUAGAUUUUGUUUGCAAGCCAACCUGUAUGAUGUUAACCUUAAGAUUGUCUGGGCCCUCAUUACUGUAUAUGGAGCAGCCCAUGAUGACAGUAAAGAUGACUUCCUGGUAGAAUUAGCCUCGAUGUGUGCUCACACACAUNNNNNNNNNNNNNNNNNNNNNNNNNNNNNNAUCCUCAUAGAGGCCUGUGAUAAAAACAAAACACUGAAUCGAUCCCCUUAUGUGGACAAAUUCAAAUCCAUCAUAAACUCACUAAACCUUCGUGAGAUUUAUAUGGGGGGUGGCAAAUAUAUGUGGACUAAUAACCAAAAACACCCUACCCUGGAAAAGCUUGAUAGAGUCUUGAUGAGCUUUGAAUGGGAGGAUCUAUUUCCUUUGGUCACGGUUCGUAAAUUGAUGAGGGAUGUUUCCGACCACAAUCCACUCCUUUUGUCCUCGGGAGAGGAGAGACAAAAUAAGAUUCAUUAGCAUGAGUUCAGGUUCGAACUUAGUUGGCUAUGUGACAAAAAAUUUUACCCCACUGCCAAGAAGAUUUGGGAGCAACCU